Molecule: ribosomal RNA, 973 nt
Filed under: Ocostaspora apilongissima
Lineage: Eukaryota; Fungi; Ascomycota; Sordariomycetes; Microascales; Halosphaeriaceae
Description: eukaryotic LSU rRNA
Rfam family: Eukaryotic large subunit ribosomal RNA
Source: RNAcentral
GAUUGCCUUAGUAACGGCGAGUGAAGCGGCAACAGCUCAAAUUUGAAAUCUGGCGCUUUUGGUGCCCGAGUUGUAAUUUGCAGAGGAUGCUUUUGGCGACGUGCCUUCCGAGUUCCCUGGAACGGGACGCCAUAGAGGGUGAGAGCCCCGUACGGUCUGGUGCCUAGCCGUUGUAAAGCUCCUUCGACGAGUCGAGUAGUUUGGGAAUGCUGCUCUAAAUGGGAGGUAAACUCCUUCUAAAGCUAAAUAUUGGCCAGAGACCGAUAGCGCACAAGUAGAGUGAUCGAAAGAUGAAAAGCACUUUGAAAAGAGAGUUAAAUAGCACGUGAAAUUGUUGAAAGGGAAGCGCUUGUGACCAGACUUGGGCUUGGUAGUUCAGCCGUCCUUUUGGGCGGUGCAUUCUGCCGGUUCAGGCCAGCAUCAGUUGUCGGUUGGGUAGAAUUGUAGUGGGAAUGUGGCUCUUCGGAGUGUUAUAGCCCGCUACGCAAUGCCCUCCUGGCGACUGAGGUUAGCGUUUUCACGGAUGCUGGCGUAAUGGUUAUCAGCGACCCGUCUUGAAACACGGACCAAGGAGUCGUCCUGCUAUGCGAGUGUUUGGGUGUUAAACCCCUACGCGAAAUGAAAGUGAACGGAGGUGAGAGCUUUGGCGCAUCAUCGACCGAUCCUGAUGUUUUCGGAUGGAUUUGAGUAAGAGCAUAGCGGGCCGGACCCGAAAGAAGGUAAGCAAAAGACCCAAAUAUCCCCUAAUUUUUUAGUGGACGUAUGUACUAACGGUGGCAACCUUAUAGGUGAACUAUGCUUGAAUAGGGCAAAGCCAGAGGAAACUCUGGUGGAGGCUCGCAGCGGUUCUGACGUGCAAAUCGAUCGUCAAAUUUGAGCAUGGGGGCGAAAGACUAAUCGAACCUUCUAGUAGCUGGUUUCUACCGAAGUUUCCCUCAGGAUAGCAGUGUUGAUUCUCAGUUUUAUGAGGUAA